CUUAAACUCAACAAUCAUUGUAAUAUCAAACCUGUUGUCAUCUGACAAAACAGAACACAGGUCCGCACUAACAGACGUAGUAGAUACACAUAAUAGAUACCCAGCAAAUAUGGGCACGCAACUAAACCAUACCCAUUCCAAAAUAAGUUAACAAAUUUCACACUCUGUGUCCUUCAGAAGAAGUUAGACAUAAGGUAGUUUCCCAUGCUGGUGACAUACCACAAAUGCAGUCCCAAACUAACACUUCCAAUUAAAUAUGCAACACCAUUC
This is a non-coding RNA of Pelobates cultripes (western spadefoot toad), 270 nucleotides long. NCBI's taxonomy places the organism in Eukaryota, Metazoa, Chordata, Amphibia, Anura, Pelobatidae. The record is from the annotation of a GenBank genome assembly.